Molecule: ribosomal RNA, 481 nt
Filed under: uncultured bacterium
Lineage: Bacteria
Description: partial 16S ribosomal RNA
Rfam family: Bacterial small subunit ribosomal RNA
Source: RNAcentral
GACGAACGUUGGCGGCGUGCUUAAUACAUGCAAGUCAACUGAAGCAGUGGUAGCAAUAUCGCUGUGGAGGUGGCGCACGGGUGAGUAACACGUAGGUAAUCUGCCUUCAGGUCUGGCAUAACUCCGGGAAACCGGGGCUAAUAGCAGAUGAUGCAGCGGCUCGACAUCGAGACAGUUGUUAAAGCUAUGGCGCCUGAAGAUGAGCCUGCGUCUGAUUAGCUAGUUGGCGGGGUAACGGCCCACCAAGGCAACGAUCAGUAGCUGGUCUGAGAGGAUGAUCAGCCACACUGGAACGGAGACACGGUCCAGACUCCUACGGGAGGCAGAAGUAAGGAAUAUUGCUCAAUGGGAGAAAUCCUGAAGCAGCAACGCCGCGUGAGGGACGAAGGGCUUUUGCUUGUAAACCUCUGUAGUGAGAGAAAAAAAUCCCAAUCUUUGGGACAUGAUGGUAUCUCAAAAGUAAGCCCCGGCUAACUACGUG